CUGUCUAUAGCAACAGGAUAAAAUGGAUUGUGCAGUUCAUCCCAUUUUAAGACCAUGUCACACCAUGAAAAAGAAUGGUGGCAUAAGCAGUUAGUGUAAUUGCUUCCCAAACACAAUACCCCCUGCUGCCUGUACCCCAUUCUCCUUGUAUCAGUUUUUAUUGCAAAUUACAACAGUUUAAUACUGUACAUUUUCAGUAUUUUCUGUAAA
Thalassophryne amazonica is the source of this 210-nucleotide long non-coding RNA. RefSeq lists it as uncharacterized. NCBI's taxonomy places the organism in Eukaryota, Metazoa, Chordata, Actinopteri, Batrachoidiformes, Batrachoididae. The transcript is spliced from 2 exons. The record is from RefSeq and is a predicted model, not a curated record.